RNAcentral lists this ribosomal RNA (699 nucleotides) under Pseudomonas sp. RNAcentral's name for it is "bacterial SSU rRNA". It matches the Rfam family "Bacterial small subunit ribosomal RNA", at positions 40 to 734 of the family's 1533-position model. Lineage: Bacteria; Pseudomonadati; Pseudomonadota; Gammaproteobacteria; Pseudomonadales; Pseudomonadaceae. The record is from RNAcentral.
CGGCAGGCCUAACACAUGCAAGUCGAGCGGUAGAGAGAAGCUUGCUUCUCUUGAGAGCGGCGGACGGGUGAGUAAUGCCUAGGAAUCUGCCUGGUAGUGGGGGAUAACGUUCGGAAACGGACGCUAAUACCGCAUACGUCCUACGGGAGAAAGCAGGGGACCUUCGGGCCUUGCGCUAUCAGAUGAGCCUAGGUCGGAUUAGCUAGUUGGUGAGGUAAUGGCUCACCAAGGCGACGAUCCGUAACUGGUCUGAGAGGAUGAUCAGUCACACUGGAACUGAGACACGGUCCAGACUCCUACGGGAGGCAGCAGUGGGGAAUAUUGGACAAUGGGCGAAAGCCUGAUCCAGCCAUGCCGCGUGUGUGAAGAAGGUCUUCGGAUUGUAAAGCACUUUAAGUUGGGAGGAAGGGCAGUUACCUAAUACGUGAUUGUUUUGACGUUACCGACAGAAUAAGCACCGGCUAACUCUGUGCCAGCAGCCGCGGUAAUACAGAGGGUGCAAGCGUUAAUCGGAAUUACUGGGCGUAAAGCGCGCGUAGGUGGUUAGUUAAGUUGGAUGUGAAAUCCCCGGGCUCAACCUGGGAACUGCAUUCAAAACUGACUGACUAGAGUAUGGUAGAGGGUGGUGGAAUUUCCUGUGUAGCGGUGAAAUGCGUAGAUAUAGGAAGGAACACCAGUGGCGAAGGCGACCACCUGGAC